Molecule: unclassified non-coding RNA, 250 nt
Filed under: uncultured Chytridiomycota
Lineage: Eukaryota; Fungi; Chytridiomycota
Description: sequence contains ITS2
Source: RNAcentral
AAAAACUCGCAUAGCUGUUUCUUGCCUGUCAAGUGCAGCACGUGUGAAUUUGAGCGCUUUGUCCAGGCCUCUUUCGAGGGCAGGACAAUCGCUUUGAAAUGAUUGUGCGUAGGGCAGUGACUACCCGUCCGCUCGACUCUCAGUGCAACAGAUCAUUGAAACACUUUGAGUCUUGGGACGCGAAAUAGCUGCAUUGCGCCUUCCAGUUUAACACGGUGCCUGCUCGUAAUUUUUGCGAGUGGCUCCGACA